This is a long non-coding RNA of Aptenodytes forsteri (emperor penguin), 1397 nucleotides long. RefSeq lists it as uncharacterized. The transcript is spliced from 2 exons. Lineage: Eukaryota; Metazoa; Chordata; Aves; Sphenisciformes; Spheniscidae. The record is from RefSeq and is a predicted model, not a curated record.
CCCCCCCCUCCUCCAACGUUUCCUCCUCGCCUAAAUUACCGGCCUGUGCUGUGUACACCUAUUUAUAGGAGGGGAGAACACGGAAAACAACAACGCGGCCACCAACAAACCGAACCAACUCUCGCCUCUGGAUGGGAGCAAACCCCUCAUGUCCAGCUCCGAGGAAGAAUUUUCUCCUCCCCAAAGCCCGGAUCAGAACUCGGUCCUGCUCUUGCAGGGGAACCUCAGCCACGCCAGGAGCUCCGGCUACUCCCUGAGCGGCUUAGCCGCAUCCCAGACCCCUCACAGCCUCCAAGGCCACCAGCUCCAGGACUCGCUGCUGGGACCCCUCACAUCCAGCCUGGUGGAUCUGGGAUCCUAAAGGCCCGCGGCGGGCGGCCGGAGGAUCGGGAGAGGAGGUUCUGCUCGGGGACAGAGGCUCUGGGUUGUACAUAGAGGACAGCACCUGGUUUUACAGCUCACCCGCUGAUUCUUGACGGGACUCUCGGCUCUUUCACACAACCCCACAUCGGCUCCUGGUCCAGUUUCCCCCCAGCGUCUCCCACUAUCACCAUGAUUUUUAUUUUUUUUUUUUUUUUUCCACGUAGCCAAACGCAGAGAGCAGCAGAAACCCUCAGCCCUUCGAGUUCAAACGACCUGGUCCCAGCGGAAAUUACAAAAAAAAAAAGAAAAAAAAAAAAGAAAAAAAAAAAAAAAAAAAAAACCCCAACCCCCCAACCAAAACCCAACCAACCCCAGCUGGAUCCGAUUCCACCCAAAUAAAUCCCAGCCCCGCAGGCGCGGUGGGGCAGGGGUGGCCGGGCACAUCCCUGCUGCUGCCCGGCCGGGUCCCCAUGGAGCCGGCAAGGAGCUGGGACGGAGGCAGAGGGAGCGAACCGCUGUACCGAGCCCUGUGUUGUAGAGGGAAGGGAAGUUACGUUUACAUUUUUCAUAUUUAGCCUUACCCGAAAGAUUUCGAUGUAGUUUAAAUUAAAAAAAAAAAAACAAAACCAAAAGGAAAAAAAAAAGGCAAAAGCUGCAGUAUUAGAGUUUUAACAAGUGCCUAUGUCUUAUUGCGGCUGUGCGAGGUGGUUAGCGAGCGAGCUCUCGUGGGCCUGCGCCCCCCGGCUUCCUUCUCCUCCGGGGUGAAAUGCAUCGAUGUGGCUAAAAAUUAGGAUAAUAAGGAUAAAAGUCGACGGCCGUUUCCUCCUGAACGAGUAUUUCUCAGGCUGCCCCGCCAGCUCCACGUUGCCUUCUCCCGUCUGUCCCCGCUCACCGCCUUCCUCCUUCAGCUUGCAGAGAGCCCGCGGACGACGCUGUCUGUCUCGAGUAUUUGUUACCAAAAAUCGCAUGUGCUUUCAGGUUUAUUUUCUAUUGUACCUAAACAGUCUAAAUUAAACAACGCUGAUGGCAGAACA